AGUAAACGUGAGAGUGGUCAGCUCAGCAGACCAUCUCAGUCCAAACCACCCUCAUCCAAGGAAAACGCAAACUGUUAGCUUCAGCUUCAGAGAGUACGCUAACCCCUUGCCGGGCCAGCGACAGAGGGAGACUGAGUACCAGCCUCAUCCAGGGAACUGCCUGUUGGACACCAGGUAGAAGGAGCCCCUGGUUGGAUGGCCUGAUGGACUAACGCGGCCUCUGUCUCCUCCUCGGUCCAGAAAACACCAGCUCUGAACACCACUAACCAUGCGGACGUACGUAUCCCCUGUGUCAAGGAACAGAGGGCUUGUGGAAUUGACCAUGAUUUCCAAGGAGCUGGAGAAGAUAUGGAGUUCACCCUCCCCCCUCGGGCGGGUUUACGGAGACAGAUGUAAACAACUUCACCAAAUAAAAUUCUCACAGAAACUAAAAGUGUC
Long non-coding RNA from Leopardus geoffroyi (Geoffroy's cat), 438 nucleotides. RefSeq lists it as uncharacterized. Lineage: Eukaryota; Metazoa; Chordata; Mammalia; Carnivora; Felidae. The record is from RefSeq and is a predicted model, not a curated record. The transcript is spliced from 2 exons.